GACGAACGCUGGCGGCGUGCCUAAUACAUGCAAGUAGAACGCACAGUUUAUACCGUAGCUUGCUACACCAUAAACUGUGAGUUGCGAACGGGGGAGUAACGCGUAGGUAACCUGCCUGGUAGCGGGGGAUAACUAUUGGAAACGAUAGCUAAUACCGCAUAAUAUUGAUUAUUGCAUGAUAAUUGAUUGAAAGAUGCUAUUGCAUCACUACCAGAUGGACCUGCGUUGUAUUAGCUAGUAGGUGAGGUAACGGCUCACCUAAGCGACGAUACAUAGCCGACCUGGGAGGGUGAUCGGCCAAACUGGGACUGAGACACGGCCCAGACUCCUACGGGAGGCAGCAGUAGGGAAUCUUCGGCAAUGGACGAAAGUCUGACCGAGCAACGCCGCGUGAGUGAAGAAGGUUUUCGGAUCGUAAAGCUCUGUUGUAAGAGAAGAACGGGUGUGAGAGUGGAAAGUUCACACUGUGACGGUAUCUUACCAGAAAGGGACGGCUAACUACGUG
Molecule: ribosomal RNA, 505 nt
Filed under: uncultured bacterium
Lineage: Bacteria
Description: partial 16S ribosomal RNA
Rfam family: Bacterial small subunit ribosomal RNA
Source: RNAcentral